CCGCUACUGUACGAGUUCUCAGGGCAGCCACCGGCCGGGCAGAUUUAUGGGGGCGCGUCACGGCUACGCCAGGUCCCGCCGCCGGAGCACCUCGAAGUUAAUUAAAGCGGGGCUAGUGGCGAGGUUAAACUGCUGGAAAGCGGUCGCUUCCAUCCCAGCACCAAAAGAACAGAGCCCAGAGCUUGCAGGGGCCACCAAGAGGAGCCAGAAAAGUGUGCCAACACAGUCUGCAGGAUGGAGAUGGAGAAAUCGUGCUGCUUGUCUUGUAUGAGCCCUGAAUCCAGCCACAUCUGAAGCCAGCUCCACCCUGGCGCCUUUCUGUUUUCUCAGCAAAAUGAAAACUCUACUGUGGACGGGUGCAUCUUUCCCCAGCCCCCCAUCAGAAAACUGCCUUCUCAGGAUGGGCAGGACAUCAGCAUCUCUCCUUUUGCCUUCAGCUGCCUGUUCUAAGGCUUACCUUCCAGGUGAUUGCAGCUGAGAAGUUGGAUGUUGUCCCUUGCCUCUUCCCACUCCCCACUCAUGAGUUGGAAGCUUUAUUAAAAGUGUGAUAUGCUGGGAAUACUAUGAUUUAAAUUACCCUACCCUGGCUCAUUUGUAGUUCACAGAUCAGAGGUUCCAAGCCAGGAGAGGCAAACCAAAACAUUCUGACGCUAUUUUCUCUCCCUUCACUAAGUGCUCAGCUUCUGAAGUGGGGAUGUCCCACAGAGAGAAGUGUGCCAUUCUUUCAACUCUCAGCCCCAGAGCCAUGUAUGAUAGAUUUUUGCCUGGGGGAAGCAGCAAGACUUAAAAAAGAGCCCUGAAUCUUUUUUCAAAGAAACUGACCUCAUUUGUAACAUGGUACGGACUUCAAGCCUAAUGACACCCUCAAAAACAAUGGAGGUUGUGGUAAAAGGCAAAUGAAAGGAGACUGGCAGAAUCACUGGAGAGAUAAGCUAAACUGCCAGCCAGUUAGUUUGCUAGAAAGAUUCAAAAAGGAAGACAAGUGAGAGGACCUCCUAGGUUCAGAACAAAUCUCACACAUUGACCUCAAUAACUAUCCCUUCAAAGGGACUCCCAACUUUAUUGGAUCAGUUUAUUCCAACUUACGUUCAAGAGAAUUUUUUAAAAAAACAAUGAAGACGCAAUCAGGUGGCAGUUAGUGGUGGUGAUUGUAUGCUAGGGUGGCUGGGAAAAGAGACAGUCAAAGUGAGUCCUUCCAAAGCCACUAUCAUCCCCGGGUGACUAUAGUCAUACCCAAGACUGCCCCCUACCUCCCAAGGAGUGACAUCAGAAGCUUCAUACUGUGGGAAGUGGGAAACAACAGACUUCAUUAAAACAAUCCAGCCAGUCAUCAAACAAAUAAAAAAAUAAUUUAAAAGCCCCAGAGAAGGAAAGAGCAAUACCCAGAGUUGCUAUAAUAUAGUAUUUAAAAUGUCCAGUUUACAGAAAAAAAUUAAAACAUGCAAAGAAACAUAAAAGUAUAACACACACACCAGAAACUGCUUGAGAGAAUGACCAGAUGUCAAAUUUAUCAGAAAGAGUAUUCAAAAUAGCCAUUAUAAAUAUGUUCAAAGAACUGAAGGAAACCAUGACUUAAAAAGUAAGGGAAAUACAUUAUAUGUUCAUAUUAAACAGGGGCUAUUCAUAAAGAAAUAGAAAUUAUUCUAAAAUAAUCAAAUGAAAAUUCUGAAGUUAAAAAGUACAAUAAGUUAAAUGAAAAAUAUACGAGAGGGGAUCCACAAUAGAUUUUAACUGGCAGAAAAAAUAAUUAAUAAACUUGAAGACAGAUCAAUGGAGAUUAUGCAAUCUGUAGAACAGAGAGAAAACAUAAUUUUAAAAAUAAACAGAGCCUCUGAGAUGUUGGUGAGACACCAUUAUGCACACUAAUAUACAUGUAAUGAGAGUACCAAACAUAGAGGAGAGAGAAAAAAAGCAGAAAAUAAUAUUCAAGGAAAUAAUGGCUAAAGAUGCCCCAAAUUUAUUGAAAAUUAAUCUAUACAUCUAGAAAAUUUAAUGAACUCUAAGUAGGUAGAUUAACACAAAUCCAGACACAUCACAAUAAAAAAAAUGCUAAAAGUGAAAGGAGAAAAUCUUGAAAGCAUCAAGAGAAAAAUGACUCAUCACUUCUAAGGAAAUUCCAGUAAGUUUAAGAGCUGACUUUUUAACAGAAAUGAAAAAGGCCAGAAGACAGUGCUCAAAAUGCACAAAGAAAAAAAAAACUGUCAACUAUGAAUUCUAUAUCCACCAAAGCUAUCUCCUAAAACUAAAGGUGACAGUCAUGUAUUCCCAGAUAAACACAAGCAGAGAGAAUUUGCUGCUAACCGAUACCUUACAAAAAAUCCUAAGGUCAGAAGUUAUUCAGGUUAAAAGUAUGUGACUACUGGCAGUAAUCUGAAUCCAGGAGAAAAAAAAACACUACUAAUAAAGGUAACUAUGUAAUUACAGAAUGCAGUAUAAAUGUAUACUUUUCUCCUUUCUUAAGAGGCUUAAAAAGCAACUGUAUAAAACAAUAUUUACAUUUAUGGCUUGGCCUAUAGCAUAUAGAAAGGAAAUAUACAACAUGAUAAACAAGACCUAAUACAUAUCUACAGAACACUCCACCCAACAAUGAGAGAAUAUAUAUUCUUCUCAAAUGUACAUGAAAUAUUAUUCAGGAUUUACCAUAUGCUAGCCUAUAAAACAAACCCCAAUAAAUUUAAGAGGAUUGAAUAAGACAAAGCAUAUUCUCUAACCACAUAGAAUAGAAUUGGAAGUAUUAUCUGCACAAAAGAAGUGAGCAAGAAUUAAGUUGUAUUCAGCUAAAGAAAUGACUCCAGGUGCUAACUUGAAUCCACAGGAAAAAUUAAAAAUAAGCAGAAAUGAUAAGAAUGUAACAAAAGCUAUAAAUAUAUACUUGAUCUCUUUCAGCUUCUUUAAGAGAGAUACAAUUAUAUAAAUUAAUAAUAGUAAUGUAUAUUUGGGUUUCUAAUACUUAUAGAUGUAAUAUGUAUAACAGUAAUAUAGUAAUGCAUCACUUAAUGAUGAGAAUACAUUCUGAGAAAUGCAUCGUUAGGUGAUUUUGUCCUUGUGCAAACAUCAUAGAUCAUACUUACCCUAAUCUAGAUGAUACAGCCUACUACACAUGUAGGCCACAUUCUAUAGACUUCUGCUUCUAGGGUACAAACCUGUACAGUAUGUGACUUACUGAAUACUGUAAGAAAUUGUAAUACAGUGGUAUUUGUGUAUCUAACCAUAUGUAAACAUAGAAGAAGUAUAGUAAAAGUAUGCUAUGAAAGAAAGGAAAGAAACAGUACACAAUUGUAUAGGGCACGUAUCACAAAUGGAACUUUCAGAACUGAAAGUUGCUCUGGAUGAGUUGGUGAGUGAGUGAUGAGUGAAUAUGAAGGCUCAGGACAUCACUGUACACUACUGUAGACUUUAUA
This is a long non-coding RNA of Callithrix jacchus (white-tufted-ear marmoset), 3401 nucleotides long. RefSeq lists it as uncharacterized. The record is from RefSeq and is a predicted model, not a curated record. NCBI's taxonomy places the organism in Eukaryota, Metazoa, Chordata, Mammalia, Primates, Cebidae.